Myotis davidii is the source of this 208-nucleotide long non-coding RNA. RefSeq lists it as uncharacterized. NCBI's taxonomy places the organism in Eukaryota, Metazoa, Chordata, Mammalia, Chiroptera, Vespertilionidae. The transcript has 3 exons. The record is from RefSeq and is a predicted model, not a curated record.
UAAAACCAAGCUAGAGCAGCAAGUGGAUGAUCUUGAAGGGUCUCUGGAACAAGAAAAGAAACUUCGCAUGGACUUAGAAAGAGCCAAGAGAAAACUAGAGGGUGACCUAAAAUUGGCCCAAGAAUCCACAAUGGAUGUAGAAAAUGACAAACAACAACUUGAUGAGAAAAUAAAAAAGAAAGAGUUUGAAAUGAGCAAUCUGCAAAGC